This 224-nucleotide long non-coding RNA is filed under the name Elaeis guineensis (African oil palm). RNAcentral's name for it is "long non-coding RNA (EGUI_LNC056863)". Lineage: Eukaryota; Viridiplantae; Streptophyta; Magnoliopsida; Arecales; Arecaceae. The record is from RNAcentral.
CCCUUCCCUUUCUAACACCUAGAACUCCUAGAUACCGAGGCUUUAGUAAAUGGGUUGGUCAAGUUUUUCUUUUUGUUGAUCUUCUAAAGAUUGACGUCACCUUAACAGAUUUUUCAAAUAAGAUGGUAGUGAUGCAAAAUACCUAGUAAGCUAAUGGGACUUCGGCUACUUGGCAUGAGCUAUGGCUCCGGUGCUGUACAAUACAACAGGACCAUCAUCAAAGC